AAUCCAUAGGUUAAUGAGGCGAACCGGGGGAACUGAAACAUCUAAGUACCCCGAGGAAAAGAAAUCAACCGAGAUUCCCCCAGUAGCGGCGAGCGAACGGGGAGGAGCCCAGAGCCUGAAUCAGCAUGUGUGUUAGUGGAAGCGUCUGGAAAGGCGCGCGAUACAGGGUGACAGCCCCGUACACAAAAGCGCAUGUGCUGUGAGCUCGAUGAGUAGGGCGGGACACGUGGUAUCCUGUCUGAAUAUGGGGGGACCAUCCUCCAAGGCUAAAUACUCCUGACUGACCGAUAGUGAACCAGUACCGUGAGGGAAAGGCGAAAAGAACCCCGGCGAGGGGAGUGAAAAAGAACCUGAAACCGUGUACGUACAAGCAGUGGGAGCACAGGUUUACCUGUGUGACUGCGUACCUUUUGUAUAAUGGGUCAGCGACUUAUAUUCUGUAGCAAGGUUAACCGAAUAGGGGAGCCGGAGGGAAACCGAGUCUUAAUUGGGCGUUAAGUUGCAGGGUAUAGACCCGAAACCCGGUGAUCUAGCCAUGGGCAGGUUGAAGGUUGGGUAACACUAACUGGAGGACCGAACCGACUAAUGUUGAAAAAUUAGCGGAUGACCUGUGGCUGGGGGUGAAAGGCCAAUCAAACCGGGAGAUAGCUGGUUCUCCCCGAAAGCUAUUUAGGUAGCGCCUCGUGAAUUCAUCUCCGGGGGUAGAGCACUGUUUCGGCUAGGGGGCCAUCCCGGCUUACCAACCCGAUGCAAACUGCGAAUACCGGAGAAUGUUAUCACGGGAGACACACGGCGGGUGCUAACGUCCGUCGUGAAGAGGGAAACAACCCAGACCGCCAGCUAAGGUCCCAAAGUCAUGGUUAAGUGGGAAACGAUGUGGGAAGGCCCAGACAGCCAGGAUGUUGGCUUAGAAGCAGCCAUCAUUUAAAGAAAGCGUAAUAGCUCACUGGUCGAGUCGGCCUGCGCGGAAGAUGUAACGGGGCUAAACCAUGCACCGAAGCUGCGGCAGCGAACGUAUCACUUAAAGCGAUUCAGCGGGUUACGAUUGACGGAGCGAAGCGACGUCAAAGCGUAUACAAAGUCGAGUCGGUUUAAGGAUACGUUCGUUGGGUAGGGGAGCGUUCUGUAAGCCUGUGAAGGUGGCCUGUGAGGGUUGCUGGAGGUAUCAGAAGUGCGAAUGCUGACAUAAGUAACGAUAAAGCGGGUGAAAAGCCCGCUCGCCGGAAGACCAAGGGUUCCUGUCCAACGUUAAUCGGGGCAGGGUGAGUCGACCCCUAAGGCGAGGCCGAAAGGCGUAGUCGAUGGGAAACAGGUUAAUAU
RNAcentral lists this ribosomal RNA (1320 nucleotides) under Salmonella enterica subsp. enterica serovar Litchfield. RNAcentral's name for it is "partial 23S ribosomal RNA". It matches the Rfam family "Bacterial large subunit ribosomal RNA", at positions 161 to 1436 of the family's 2925-position model. Lineage: Bacteria; Pseudomonadati; Pseudomonadota; Gammaproteobacteria; Enterobacterales; Enterobacteriaceae. The record is from RNAcentral.